GGACAAUGUUUGUGUCUGUGAGAUUAAUAAUUACUCACAUGAUACUUUAAACUGGAGAAGGACAGGUGAUUUGACAGGAUUACCCAUUAAAUGUGAAUAACGAAGACCAGUCUUCCUAUACACCAACACAUAUACACUUGAUGGGGUCAACUGUAUACACUUCUUACAAAUUUUCUUGAGGCAGUUUUAGAUUUUCAUACAGAUUCAUGCAAAUAUUUCUGUAUCUUAAAUCAUUUGUCCUAUCACCUUCAAGCAGUGUUGUUAAAAGUGGAGUUAGGAGAUCCAGUUGUAAUCUGGUGCAUUCUGUUGUCCUAUCAUUUUAUGUUGUGAAAGAGAGCUUGGCCGAAAACCAAACAGCGAAGGAGUGAACUGGAUUGGUCCACGUCAGUCACAUGACAGUGACUUUGUCUUCUCUGUGAUCGAGAGCCAAGUUCUCAUAGGCACCCUCGUGCUCAGCACUCCUGUUACGCACGCAGACACACACACACACACACACAAACAAACAACCACUGUGAUUACAAAAUGAAAUGGUUCAGAUAAGCACAGUAGUAAACUAUAUUGGUCUUAAUAAAAAACAAUAUGGUCAAACCAAUACAGUAGUUGUAUUAUACUGCACUAUCUUUUAAUAUAAGGUUGUAAUUAAGGAUGUUAUCAGGUUGUACGGUAAUGGCUACCCCAUUCUAUCUUAUCAGGACAUUCAUUUAUUCCAGACAGGACUGGCAGCUUAGCUUACCUGAGCACGUUGAGAGAGGUGUCAUAGGUCGCUCCGUUCGUCGUUGCGUGGUCUUCCACCAUCACCGGCUCCGCUCUCAUCUCUUUGCUUCACAGGUCAAUCCUUCAGGUCAUCUGUGACGAGCUGUUACUAAACAGGUCUCAGACCAGAGAAAGGAAGAAAAAGAGAUCCUCUACUACCUGCGGUCGCACCAGGCCUUGUUGACGAGGAACGUCACGAAAACAAGGAAGAGGAAGCCAGCCACGGCGAUGAAGCCCGUCAGCCACUGUGGCAGCGCCCGGCCCUCAGCUUAGCGUCAGGAUGGAGGAGAGACCGUUGCAGAAACAGUCAUAUGGAGGUCUUCUACCAGUUAUCUACCAGUUAUCUAACUGCUGCUCUCUGAAGGUAUAACAUCAUUUUUGAUCAAUAUUAUUGUUUCUGGC
This is a long non-coding RNA of Osmerus eperlanus (European smelt), 1155 nucleotides long. RefSeq lists it as uncharacterized. NCBI's taxonomy places the organism in Eukaryota, Metazoa, Chordata, Actinopteri, Osmeriformes, Osmeridae. The transcript is spliced from 3 exons. The record is from RefSeq and is a predicted model, not a curated record.